Molecule: ribosomal RNA, 797 nt
Filed under: uncultured archaeon
Lineage: Archaea
Description: bacterial SSU rRNA
Rfam family: Archaeal small subunit ribosomal RNA
Source: RNAcentral
UUCCGGUUGAUCCUGCCGGACCCGACUGCUAUCGGAUUGAGAUUUAGCCAUGCGAGUCGAACGCCUUCCUGUUGCGGGAGGCGUGGCGUACGGCUCAGUGACACGUAGUCAACCUGCCCUCGAGACGUGGACAACCCCGGGAAACUGGGAUUAAUUCCAUGAUAGGUCAUCUCAUCUGGAAGGAGAGAUGGCUUAAAGGGGCGAGCGAGCUUCUUUUGUUCGCCUGCUCGAGGAUGGGACUGCGGCCGAUCAGGCUGUUGGCGGGGUAAUGGCCCACCAAACCUGUAACCGGUACGGGCCUUGAGAGAGGGGGCCCGGAGAUGGACACUGAGAGAAGGGUCCAGGUCCUACGGGGCGCAGCAGGCGCGAAACCUUCGCAAUGCGCGAAAGCGUGACGAGGUUAAUCCGAGUGGUCCCCGCUGAGGGGAUCUUUUGUCGACUGUAAAAAGGUCGGUGAAUAAGGGGAGGGCAAGUCUGGUGUCAGCCGCCGCGGUAAUACCAGCUCCUCGAGUGGUCGGGGCGAUUAUUGGGCCUAAAGCAUCCGUAGCCUGUUCUGUAGGUCUUCCGUUAAAUCCAGUAGCUUAACUAUUGGCAGGCGGAGGAUACCGCAGGACUAGGAGGCGGGAGAGGUGGGCGGUACUCUACGUGUAGGGGUAAAAUCCUUUGAUCCGUAGAAGACCACCAGUGGCGAAGGCGGCCCACCAGAACGCGCUCGACGGUGAGGGAUGAAAGCUGGGGGAGCGAACCGGAUUAGAUACCCGGGUAGUCCCAGCCGUAAACGAUGCGAGCUAGAUGAU